GGGAGCGGUAGCUUAACAGUAGAGCGCUGCGUUGUGACCGCAGAUGCGCCGGGGCAGCACCGGCCCGUCCCCCCA
RNAcentral lists this transfer RNA (75 nucleotides) under Chloroflexota bacterium. Its description in RNAcentral is "tRNA-His". It matches the Rfam family "tRNA". Rfam says of the family: Transfer RNA (tRNA) molecules are approximately 80 nucleotides in length. The record is from RNAcentral. Lineage: Bacteria; Bacillati; Chloroflexota.